Molecule: ribosomal RNA, 292 nt
Filed under: uncultured bacterium
Lineage: Bacteria
Description: partial 16S ribosomal RNA
Rfam family: Bacterial small subunit ribosomal RNA
Source: RNAcentral
GUGUCAGCAGCCGCGGUAAAACGUAGGUACCGAGCGUUAUCCGGAUUUACUGGGCGUAAAGCGCGUUCAGGCGGCACGGCAAGUCGGGCAUGAAAUCUCUCGGCUCAACCGGGAGGGGUUGUCCGAUACUGCCGGGCUGGAGGGCAGUAGAGGGGGGUGGAAUUCCGGGUGUAGUGGUGAAAUGCGUAGAGAUCCGGAGGAACACCAGUGGCGAAGGCGGCCCCCUGGACUGUACCUGACGCUCAAACGCGAAAGCUAGGGGAGCGAACGGGAUUAGAAACCCCUGUAGUCC